Molecule: unclassified non-coding RNA, 354 nt
Filed under: uncultured Glomeromycotina
Lineage: Eukaryota; Fungi; Glomeromycota
Description: sequence contains 28S rRNA gene
Source: RNAcentral
AGAGUUAAACAGUACGUGAAAUUGUUGAAAGGGAAACGGUUGAAGUCAGUCAUGCCGGCAGGAAUCAACCUUAGGGGUGGCUUUGAGGUGCACUUCCUUGCUUGGCAGGUUAGCACCGAUUUUGGAUGCCAUAAAAUGAUCGGGGGAAGGUAGCUCCUUUUAGGAGUGUUAUAGCCCUUGGUUAAUGUGAUAUCCGGGAUCGAGGAUUGCAACGGAUACCCGUCAGGGCUAGCCACCUGGCCUCUGUCUCGAUGUUGGGUCAUGGACAGCAUGCCGACUGUGAUCUGAUCAUUGAUCAAAAGGUUAGAGUGAGCAUAAAUUCGUUAAGGAUGCUGACGUAAUGGCUUUAAACGA